This is a long non-coding RNA of Gigantopelta aegis, 569 nucleotides long. RefSeq lists it as uncharacterized. NCBI's taxonomy places the organism in Eukaryota, Metazoa, Mollusca, Gastropoda, Neomphalida, Peltospiridae. The transcript is spliced from 2 exons. The record is from RefSeq and is a predicted model, not a curated record.
UCAAGUGUCUAUAAAAAUCGGAAGUACUAACCGUUCGUCACGUCACUACGAAGAAGCGACACCAUGCGUCUGAUCUUGACUCUGUUCUGUAUCCUGCUGGCGCUUGGGCUCGCAAACGCCACUUACAACACCGUGUAUCAUCCUACACGGGAUAUUGCGAGCUCCGAAGCAAGAAAAAGGCAAAACACCAACGCAUUGAUGAAACGUGCGAUCCAAAGGAAAGCCAAAGGAAAGGAUGUUUGGAAGAGGGCGUUUCCAUUACACUCCUUCUGUUAUGAUCUGGCACAUGGCAACAGCGGUUAAAUGAAAAUAAACAACUGCUAUAUAAAAUAGAACAGGCCUGCAUCGGAAGACUUGGAUGAAAGACAAACUUUUAUAAACUUGAAGAAGAAUUUUUUAUUCAAUAAAGUUGGAACUAAUUUUAUAUUGAAAAUCAAAACAAUUAAUUAAGUUAUCUAUAAAUGUAGUCUAAAGGAAACAAAUAAUGUGUAUAAAAAUGAAAACAAUAUAAAACUGUAUAUUAAAAUAGCAUACAUUUCCUUGUGCAGUAAAUAUCAUUCAUCUCUGUU